This 301-nucleotide ribosomal RNA is filed under the name uncultured bacterium. RNAcentral's name for it is "partial 16S ribosomal RNA". It matches the Rfam family "Bacterial small subunit ribosomal RNA", at positions 509 to 807 of the family's 1533-position model. The record is from RNAcentral.
CAGUAGCCGCGGGAAUACGUAGGUGGCAAGCGUUAUCCGGAAUUAUUGGGCGUGAAGCGCGCGUAGGCGGUUUUUUAAGUCUGAUGUGAAAGCCCCCGGCUCAACCGGGGGGGGUCAUUGGAAACUGGGAAACUUGAGUGCAGAAGAGGAGAGUGGAAUUCCACGUGUAGCGGUGAAAUGCGUAGAGAUGUGGAGGAACACCAGUGGCGAAGGCGACUCUCUGGCCUGUAACUGACGCUGAGGAGCGAAAGCGUGGGGAGCGAACAGGAUUAGAUACCCCCGUAGUCCCUGUCUCUUAUAC